UACGUAGGUGGCAAGCGUUGUCCGGAUUUACUGGGCGUAAAGAGCGCGCAGGCGGUCGAUCAAGUCGAGUGUGAAAGCCCCCGGCUCAACUGGGGAGGGUCAUUCGAUACUGAUCGACUCGAAGGCAGGAGAGGGUAGUGGAAUUCCCGGUGUAGUGGUGAAAUGCGUAGAUAUCGGGAGGAACACCAGUGGCGAAGGCGACUACCUGGCCUGUUCUUGACGCUGAGGCGCGAAAGCUAGGGGAGCAAACGGG
RNAcentral lists this ribosomal RNA (253 nucleotides) under uncultured bacterium. RNAcentral's name for it is "partial 16S ribosomal RNA". It matches the Rfam family "Bacterial small subunit ribosomal RNA", at positions 524 to 776 of the family's 1533-position model. The record is from RNAcentral.